Molecule: long non-coding RNA, 883 nt
Organism: Hirundo rustica (Barn swallow)
Lineage: Eukaryota; Metazoa; Chordata; Aves; Passeriformes; Hirundinidae
Exons: 2
Source: RefSeq, a predicted model, not a curated record
UCUCUCCACCACAUCCUGCAGCUUGCCCCAGACAGAGGCCACAGUGGGCCUUUACAAGCACUGCAACAGCUGUAGGAGUGGAUAAAGCCAUGAAGAGGAAGAAAUGUCUGAGGAACAAUUGAAUUAAGACUUUUUAGUUGGGUUCAAGGGCUUUGAUUUGAUUAGAUUAGCCACACCUUUGCAGAAAAAUCAGCUGUUAAUCAUUUACUGCAGCCCAAAGAGGCAACUUCCAGGCUACCUCUACAAGUCUCCAGGUCCAGCAAGGGGACCCUCACCACAGGCCAAGAUCUCUUGGAGGGGUGAAGAGGAGACAACAGAGGAAGAACCUACUGCAAACCACAACAGCUUCAGCAGGGUGGAAGCCAGCAUGUCACUAGAGCAAGAGGCACCCUCAGUUCUGGAAGACCUAACGAAACUCAUUUCAACAAGUGACUGGGCUCUUGGAGGACUGGUGGUGAUUGGCAUCUUCUGUCUUGUUUUUAUUGCUCUCAUUUUAUUUGCUGCAAUCUUUGGGUGCUGCACAUCUCCAAGGUACAAACGGGGCGGCUCAUAAACCGCAAAGCAGGGACACAAGAGUUGGUACAGCUGAGCAAGAACCAGCCUGGGUACAGCUUGAUGGUGUUGUUCACAGAAAACUUUCAUCUCGCUCCCUGGCUGGUUAUUUCUCUCCUGCAUCAAGAGCAAUGUCCCAAUGCCAGCAAGUUGUUCUGCAGGCUACAGCAAGCUCAAUAAAUGAAGCUGUCUGGAUUCAAGAACUGCAACAUUCACCAAAUACCAACGUAAACUCGUCUCUGAUUUUCAUCUUUCAAGCAAAACCACCAGCUAGAGGUGGCAAAUGGUCAGCCACCACCUAAAGCUGAUAAAGAUAUGUUCUACUUCUGCA